CCAACACUGUACAGCCAACAUUUUGGGGGAGCAAGCCACUGCAUAGGUGGCUGGAGUGGCCAGGCCUUGCCCUGAACCCUCCAGCCCAGCUUCCCAUCCCCUUGUUGGCCCUCAGCCUGAAGCUGGCUCUGGUGAGGAAGCAGGUCCUCUCGACCCUGUAUCUGAAUCAUCUCUGUGCCUCUGUGUCUCUGGUCCCACAUGGAAUGAAUGGGUCUUCAGGGAGGCUGUGCUACAAGUUAUUCUACCUGACCUGACCCUGGAGACCAGCUCACCAGGGGAGGAAGUUGGCAGGCAGAGGCAAGAGUGCACAGGUGGUGAUGGUGGGAGAAGUGGCUGGUUCUGUCCUCCACACCCCUUCGCCCCAGCACCUCAGGAGGACGGUGUAGGCGGUGCCCGAGGGUGCAAAUGAGGCUCCUGCCCUGCCAUCUUCCGAAUGAAGUUUUAAAGUUCUCUUUUAGAACUGCUGGAGGCACCUGUGAACCUUCGUGCCAUGUGUACAGCCUCCUGUCCUGUGGAUUUAUUUGGCAGGAAUGACACACCAACAGAUGAAAUGUAUUGGGAUGAACUAUCACGCCACGGAAGAGCAGCACCCGUCUUCCACACACGUCUGCUUUGUGGAAACCUGUGGAACUCGGUCAGAGUGAAGCAGUGCACGGACACCAACAUGCAGUUUGGGGCUUCCGAGGUCCCUUGGGGACCCUCGUUUCUUUGGCCAGCCCAUCCCACCAUGCCCAUUUUCUCAUCAUCCCUGCUUCCCCCCACCCUGUUCUCACUCCAGUUCUUCCCAGAGUGCCCUGUGUCCUCCCUUGAUUCUAAAGCUCGGGGCUCCUUGAAGCCAUCUCCCAGGCGAGCAGACUCCCUGCAUGCCAACCUUCCUCCACUUCCUGCCAGGGCCCUCCCCUGAGGGCACCCAUCAGGGAGCCACUGCCGCCAGACCAGACGCCUCCAUGAGCAGAGGCCCCUGCCCCCUAGGGCUCCUGUUGUCCAGCCAACCGGCUGCCCUCUGCCCCUCCUAAGAAGGGACAAGAGAAAGCAGGGCUGGGUGUCAUGUUGAUAGGUCCUGGGAGAUGAUGAGACCCACCAGGGAAAGGCCCGUGCCUGCCUGGCUCACCGCAGGGGCGAGGCUAAUCAACAGUAUUUCCCAAAUGAAUGAGCGGUGAGUGAUGCGCGAGUGAAAUGUCAUCAUCUGGGCAUUCCCCCUUUCUCGGUGACGCUGUGGGCAUGUGACCUCUGGAUUGAGUGUCGCCGUGGACACAUCCACCACUGCCUUUAAGCUCCGGGAUCUCCCUCAUUCCGAGGACCUUCCCUUUUUUGUCCUCCCAGCUGCCCCCUCCUGUGGCCGCACCUGCUCCUUGUCAUCAUCACCUGAAACUACUCCACCUCCGGAAGCUUAAACACCAGUAUCCCACUCCCACCACUGCCUGCGGUUCUUCCCACUGCCUGCCCGACUCCCACUGCGCUUUCUGGGGCCACACACACCCCUGCUCUCCCACUGUCAUCUCUGGACCUCGCUCCUUUACCUGCCAGCCAACUGACUGACCUUCCUUCACCUUUGAUUCCCUCGUGCCCUCUUUCCACAAAUCACACCCACUUUGUUCAGCAAAACCCGAAGCUAAUCCACUUUGUGGCGUGUCUCCUCUGCCUGCCCCUUGGCGGCCAAGCCGCGUGGGGAAGGGCCACCCAGGUGCAGACGGCACCACUCCUGGCGCCGGAGCCCCUUUCCCCAGCCAAGUCUUCAGGCCAGGCCAGGUGCUCCUCUCAGGGGCCGCACCUGCUCGCGGGGAUGAGAGAAACAGACAAGCAGUGGUCAAGGCGAUCGAGCCAGUUCAGCGCUGCUGUUCGGCUGGUGGCCCUUCCUUGGGCUCUGCAGCCUCCAUUCUCUGAUGACCUCGCUCCUACUCCAAGAAGAGUGAGACCCCCCAGAGUCACAUCCCUUCUAACUUGGCCAAUCUAUGACUCGGUCAUCCUACGUAUCCCUUGCCCCCUUGGCCACUUUUUCUCAUCUCAGAAGAUGGGUCCGUCUUGCUCUCCAGGGCCGGCACCACCACGCCUGCCACCGAGUCCUCCCCACCUUCCCACCUGUAACCUCACACCUUUCCUUGUCUUCACACUGUCAUUCUGCUGAUUGUUCCCCUUGGCCUGCAAACAAACGCCAUCUCCUCCUGUCCUGACACUGGCCCCUGGGUCCCUGAGUUCCCCCUUGCAGGGAGCCCUCAGGCCCUGUCUUCCUUCCUCCCUGCUGUGCACACAGGAGGUGUGGGCCUGACAGUGGGGGGCUGGGGAGCCUGUGUGCUUGUGUGUGUGCUCCCUGCUGGUGACAACAGGGGACACCACAGGCAGGGCCACCAACCUCAGGAAGCUUACAUUCUAUAUAGAAGACAGGUGCAUAUGCAAGUAAACAGGUAAAUAAAAAUGAGAAAUUCA
Long non-coding RNA from Manis pentadactyla (Chinese pangolin), 2424 nucleotides. RefSeq lists it as uncharacterized. NCBI's taxonomy places the organism in Eukaryota, Metazoa, Chordata, Mammalia, Pholidota, Manidae. The transcript has 3 exons. The record is from RefSeq and is a predicted model, not a curated record.